UAAGACUUGUGGUGUCAAUCAAUAUAAAAUUGAAUCCAAAACAUUUUAUCAAAACACAAAUAAAAUUCAUUCACCAAGUAUGAUUAAAUCUAAACUUAAAAAGAGUAACGAGUAUAGCAAACGUUCUCUAUAUCUAUUAUUAUGCACCUAACAAAAUAACUCUUCAUCCUCAUGAAUUAGUUAUGCGAUUGAUCAUCGCCAAAGUUAUUUUCUUCGUCCUCAAUAGCAUCAUCUUCCUCAUCAGCAUUAUUCUCUAUUGACAAUGGUGUAAAUGAGGGCACAACAAAGCCAGGAACUUUA
RNAcentral lists this long non-coding RNA (300 nucleotides) under Olea europaea (common olive). RNAcentral describes it as "long non-coding RNA (OEUR_LNC007295)". The record is from RNAcentral. Lineage: Eukaryota; Viridiplantae; Streptophyta; Magnoliopsida; Lamiales; Oleaceae.